UAGUCCACGCUGUAAACGAUGUCUACUUGGAGGUUGUUGUCUUGAAUGAUGGCUUUCGGAGCUAACGCGUUAAGUAGACCGCCUGGGGAGUACGGCCGCAAGGUUAAAACUCAAAUGAAUUGACGGGGGCCCGCACAAGCGGUGGAGCAUGUGGUUUAAUUCGAUGCAACGCGAAGAACCUUACCUACUCUUGACAUCUACAGAAGCCAGCGGAGACGCAGGUGUGCCUUCGGGAACUGUAAGACAGGCGCUGCAUGGCUGUCGUCAGCUCGUGUUGUGAAAUGUUGGGUUAAGUCCCGCAACGAGCGCAACCCUUAUCCUUGUUUGCCAGCACGUAAUGGUGGGAACUCCAGGGAGACUGCCGGUGAUAAACCGGAGGAAGGUGGGGACGACGUCAAAUCAUCAUGGCCUUUAUGCCUAGGGCGACACACGUGCUACAAUGGUGCAUACAGAGGGUAGCGAAGCCGCGAGGUGGAGCCAAUCUCAGAAAGUGCAUCCC
Molecule: ribosomal RNA, 499 nt
Filed under: uncultured bacterium
Lineage: Bacteria
Description: bacterial SSU rRNA
Rfam family: Bacterial small subunit ribosomal RNA
Source: RNAcentral